Molecule: long non-coding RNA, 265 nt
Organism: Neomonachus schauinslandi (Hawaiian monk seal)
Lineage: Eukaryota; Metazoa; Chordata; Mammalia; Carnivora; Phocidae
Exons: 3
Source: RefSeq, a predicted model, not a curated record
CCAGAACCUGGAAGAGGCAGGAAGGACCCUCUUCUGAAGCCGCUGGAGGGGGCGCAGCCCUGAGACCUUGAUCUGACUUCUGACCUCCAGGAUGUGAGAGACUCUGCCUGCCUUGGAAACUGCUCCUAAGAGAAGAGAAUGGCUGCUGGCUACCUGCCCCCAUGGCCCCAGGAGAGCGGUGCUUCCUUCCUGGGCUGGGAGCGCGUCCUUGUGGCCUGAAGACCCCGCACCUCCCCCAUGGCGGGAAGAGCUGCGCCAUCCUCCU